Molecule: ribosomal RNA, 464 nt
Filed under: uncultured bacterium
Lineage: Bacteria
Description: bacterial SSU rRNA
Rfam family: Bacterial small subunit ribosomal RNA
Source: RNAcentral
GACGCUGGCGGCGUGCUUAACACAUGCAAGUCGAACGGUGACGGAGGAGCUUGCUCCUCCUGAUCAGUGGCGAACGGGUGAGUAACACGUGAGUAACCUGCCCCAGACUCUGGAAUAACAGUUGGAAACAGCUGCUAAUACCGGAUACGAGACGGAGAGGCAUCUCUACCGUCUGGAAAGUUUUUCGGUCUGGGAUGGACUCGCGGCCUAUCAGCUUGUUGGUGAGGUAAUGGCUCACCAAGGCGACGACGGGUAGCCGGCCUGAGAGGGCGACCGGCCACACUGGGACUGAGACACGGCCCAGACUCCUACGGGAGGCAGCAGUGGGGAAUAUUGCACAAUGGGCGAAAGCCUGAUGCAGCAACGCCGCGUGAGGGAUGACGGCCUUCGGGUUGUAAACCUCUUUCAGUAGGGAAGAAGCGCAAGUGACGGUACCUACAGAAGAAGCACCGGCUAACUACGUG